Molecule: ribosomal RNA, 518 nt
Filed under: uncultured bacterium
Lineage: Bacteria
Description: partial 16S ribosomal RNA
Rfam family: Bacterial small subunit ribosomal RNA
Source: RNAcentral
UGGGGAAUUUUGGACAAUGGGCGAAGCCUGAUCCAGCAAUGCCGCGUGUGUGAAGAAGGCCUUCGGGUUGUAAAGCACUUUUGUCCGGAAAGAAAUGGCUCUGGUUAAUACCUGGGGUCGAUGACGGUACCGGAAGAAUAAGGACCGGCUAACUACGUGCCAGCAGCCGCGGUAAUACGUAGGGUCCAAGCGUUAAUCGGAAUUACUGGGCGUAAAGCGUGCGCAGGCGGUUGUGCAAGACCGAUGUGAAAUCCCCGAGCUUAACUUGGGAAUUGCAUUGGUGACUGCACGGCUAGAGUGUGUCAGAGGGGGGUAGAAUUCCACGUGUAGCAGUGAAAUGCGUAGAGAUGUGGAGGAAUACCGAUGGGCGAAGGCAGCCCCCUGGGAUAACACUGACGCUCAUGCACGAAAGCGUGGGGAGCAAACAGGAUUAGAUACCCUGGUAGUCCACGCCCUAAACGAUGUCAACUAGUUGUUGGGGAUUCAUUUCCUUAGUAACGUAGCUAACGCGUGAAGUU